RNAcentral lists this ribosomal RNA (492 nucleotides) under uncultured bacterium. Its description in RNAcentral is "partial 16S ribosomal RNA". It matches the Rfam family "Bacterial small subunit ribosomal RNA", at positions 29 to 507 of the family's 1533-position model. The record is from RNAcentral.
AGUGAACGCUGGCGGUAGGCCUAACACAUGCAGGUCGAACGGCAGCACAGUAAGAGCUUGCUCUUACGGGUGGCGAGUGGCGGACGGGUGAGGAAUACAUCGGAAUCUACUUUUUCGUGGGGGAUAACGUAGGGAAACUUACGCUAAUACCGCAUACGACCUACGGGUGAAAGCAGGGGAUCUUCGGACCUUGCGCGAUUGAAUGAGCCGAUGUCGGAUUAGCUAGUUGGCGGGGUAAAGGCCCACCAAGGCGACGAUCCGUAGCUGGUCUGAGAGGAUGAUCAGCCACACUGGAACUGAGACACAGUCCAGACUCCUACGGGAGGCAGCAGUGGGGAAUAUUGGACAAUGGGCGCAAGCCUGAUCCAGCCAUACCGCGUGGGUGAAGAAGGCCUUCGGGUUGUAAAGCCCUUUUGUUGGGAAAGAAAAGCAGCAGGUUAAUACCCCGCUGUUCUGACGGUACCCAAAGAAUAAGCACCGGCUAACUUCGUG